UGAGGAAUAUUGGUCAAUGGGAGGAAUCCUGAACCAGCCAUGCCGCGUGCAGGACGACGGCUCUACGAGUUGUAAACUGCUUUUGUACCGGGGUAAAAUGCUCUACGAGUAGGGUUUUUCGAAAGUACGGUACGAAUAAGGAUCGGCUAACUCCGUGCCAGCAGCCGCGGUAAUACGGAGGAUCCGAGCGUUAUCCGGAUUCAUUGGGUUUAAAGGGUGCGUAGGUUGUUUUGAUAAGUUAGCGGUGAAAUACCGAUGCUCAACAUCGGGGCUGCCGCUAAUACUGUAGGACUAGAGAUCGGAUGCAGCAGGCGGAAUGUGUAGUGUAGCGGUGAAAUGCAUAGAUAUUACACAGAACACCGAUUGCGAAGGCAGCUUGCUAGGCCGGAUCUGACACUGAUGCACGAAAGCGUGGGGAUCGAACAGGAUUAGAUACCC
Molecule: ribosomal RNA, 438 nt
Filed under: uncultured bacterium
Lineage: Bacteria
Description: bacterial SSU rRNA
Rfam family: Bacterial small subunit ribosomal RNA
Source: RNAcentral